GACGAACGCUGGCGGCGUGCUUAACACAUGCAAGUCGAACGAAGAGCGACGGAAGCUUGCUUCUAUCACUCUUAGUGGCGAACGGGUGAGUAACGCGUAAUCAACCUGCCCUUCAGAGGGGGACAACAGUUGGAAACGACUGCUAAUACCGCAUACGAUCUAACCUCGGCAUCGAGGAUAGAUGAAAGGUGGCCUCUACAUGUAAGCUAUCACUGAAGGAGGGGAUUGCGUCUGAUUAGCUAGUUGGAGGGGUAACGGCCCACCAAGGCGAUGAUCAGUAGCCGGUCUGAGAGGAUGAACGGCCACAUUGGGACUGAGACACGGCCCAGACUCCUACGGGAGGCAGCAGUGGGGAAUCUUCCGCAAUGGACGAAAGUCUGACGGAGCAACGCCGCGUGAGUGAUGACGGCCUUCGGGUUGUAAAGCUCUGUUAAUCGGGACGAAAGGCCUUCUUGCGAAUAGUGAGAAGGAUUGACGGUACCGGAAUAGAAAGCCACGGCUAACUACGUG
This 510-nucleotide ribosomal RNA is filed under the name uncultured bacterium. Its description in RNAcentral is "partial 16S ribosomal RNA". It matches the Rfam family "Bacterial small subunit ribosomal RNA", at positions 28 to 507 of the family's 1533-position model. The record is from RNAcentral.